UACGGAGGGUGCAAACGUUGCUCGGAAUCAUUGGGCGUAAAGCGCACGUAGGCGGUCCGGUAAGUCGGGUGUGAAAGCCCUCGGCUCAACCGAGGAAGUGCAUUCGAAACUACCGGACUUGAGUAUGGAAGAGGGUCGCGGAAUUCCCGGUGUAGAGGUGAAAUUCGUAGAUAUCGGGAGGAACACCAGUGGCGAAGGCGGCGACCUGGGCCAAUACUGACGCUGAGGUGCGAAAGCGUGGGGAGCAAACAGG
This 253-nucleotide ribosomal RNA is filed under the name uncultured bacterium. RNAcentral's name for it is "partial 16S ribosomal RNA". It matches the Rfam family "Bacterial small subunit ribosomal RNA", at positions 524 to 776 of the family's 1533-position model. The record is from RNAcentral.